Zalophus californianus (California sea lion) is the source of this 295-nucleotide long non-coding RNA. RefSeq lists it as uncharacterized. The record is from RefSeq and is a predicted model, not a curated record. The transcript is spliced from 3 exons. NCBI's taxonomy places the organism in Eukaryota, Metazoa, Chordata, Mammalia, Carnivora, Otariidae.
CAGGGUCUGGAGGGACAGGAGAUUCUGUGUCUAUAUAAUCUUCAGGGCUAAAAUCAAGAAGCCGGGAGCAAUAAAUGAAUGAAAGAUAGGCUAUACUAUAUACUGCCCUAUGACGUCAGGCUUGCCCAUGUGACUUGAUCUAGAUGAUGGAAUCUCCUGUGAAAUGCAACAAGUUUCACCUGCAUAUCACAUUCCCAUUGCCUCACCUCCAAUUCUUUGAGGUAGUUAACUGUUGUUUCUUGUCUCAUUAAUAUGACUAAGUCAUGGGGAUGCUUCAAGUUCAUUGGUGAAUCCA